AAAGAAUUGGGCUUGUUUCGUUUGGAAAGAAGAAAACAGAGGGGACAUGACAGCGGUUUUCAGCUGCUUUUUGAAACAACAAAUCAGCGAAAACACACCAUGUUCCCAAUGAUAUCAGGAAUGGGAAACACAAGAGAAUGACAACGAUUAUAGAUAUCACUGACAGGAGAUCUCAGAAGCAAAUGGUGCAGACAUCAAGGCUCUGACUGUGGACAGCAGCUUCGAGGCAGGAGGAUGCCAGAGUGGAGGACAGAAGAACCUAACCAUUAUCCUUUGGAUUCAGCCAUGUGGAUGCCCUGGAAUCACCUACGCUGCUCAGAAUCUUGUCUGAGCCUGUUUACAAGGCGCCAUGCCCCUCCCCGUUUGAAAACCUGGGCUGCCUCGGAUUCAAGCUUGAUUGAUGAAGAUAAUUUAUUUACACAUAUGCAAGGCUGGGGAAGGUGAGUGGGCCCCUGGCGGGCAGGGACAUAUGUGAACUCCGGUUGUCCCCCUCCCCCGCUCCUUUGGGCUUUGGAACACCCCCCGCGCCAGGCCGGGGACUCCCCCCGCGCCUCCUCCAGCUCCACAAGACAAACCCGACCCCGAGCUCCUGGGGCGCAGGGGACCCGGACCUGUAACCUGUCAGGACAGGACAAGCCGGGGCUCCUGAGCCGGCGCAGUCCCGCUCGCCCUGUGCCCGGCUGGGCAGGAGGGGAAAGCGGAGCCGCUCCCACGGCACUCCCUCCCCAUUAUGCAAAGCAGCGCGGCGAGGUGCGCGGGAGGCUAUAAAAGGGGAGGGGGCACGGCCGGGCGCCCA
Pelodiscus sinensis (Chinese soft-shelled turtle) is the source of this 796-nucleotide non-coding RNA. Lineage: Eukaryota; Metazoa; Chordata; Testudines; Trionychidae. The record is from RefSeq and is a predicted model, not a curated record.